RNAcentral lists this ribosomal RNA (253 nucleotides) under uncultured bacterium. RNAcentral's name for it is "partial 16S ribosomal RNA". It matches the Rfam family "Bacterial small subunit ribosomal RNA", at positions 524 to 776 of the family's 1533-position model. The record is from RNAcentral.
UACGGAGGGUGCGAGCGUUGUCCGGAAUCACUGGGCGUAAAGGGCGCGUAGGCGGCGAGGAUAGUCAACGGUGAAAGCUUGGGGCUCAACCCCGAGUCGGCCGUCGAUACUUCCUUGCUUGAGCACUGUAGAGGCAGAUGGAAUUCCGGGUGUAGCGGUGGAAUGCGUAGAGAUCCGGAAGAACACCGGUGGCGAAGGCGGUCUGCUGGGCAGUAGCUGACGCUGAUGCGCGACAGCGUGGGGAGCAAACAGG